UCAAAGUGAGCUUCCAACCCAGUUCAUAACCAUAAUUAAUCCAAAAUAAAACUUCAAUAUUCACAAGCUACUAGAUCUAAAUAGAGAAGCAAAAUAGUAGUAGAAAGCUAUGGAAUCUCUCUAGCUCUAUGAAACCCUAAAAAUGGAAAAUAAAACUGCUAAUAAUGAUAUCUCGUAACUAGCAAAUACACCCCUCUAUAGUAAUCUCGCUACAGCAGACUUAAAAUAAAAAGUCAAAUUUUAAAGCAGUCUUGAUUAGCGCGGCCGCGCGGCCCUGUAUAGCAAUUGGGGCGCGGGAGCGCCAUUUUGGAAUUCUAGAAUCAUCCUGGCUCGGGUGCACUGGAGUUACCCUUUUGGUUGGUGCGGCCGCGCGAAUGCUUUCUACUGCACUUUGUUGUUAUCAUGAUGCCGGUGUUCUGCUGCUACAAUGCUGUUGAUUCCUUCUUCUUUUGUCUUCACUUGCCUUCCUCAUCCUUCAUUUGCCUUCUUCAUUCUUCACAUGACCUCUCAUAUGCCCUUUCCUUAUACUCUUGCUCAGCUUCAAUUCUCAUUUUCAGCAUAGGCUCAUCAUGCUUUGCCACUUCCACGCAAUUGCCAUGUCUUUUCCAUGCCUUAGUAGUUUCCUCGAUGCAACCUACAAAAUAGGCAUAAAAAGAAAUCAAACAAUACUAAAAAAACUUAAGUUUAAGCAUAAUUCUAGCAAGUUGAUAGCCAAUAAGUAGGUAUAAAACCUACUUAUCACUUAUCCUAGCAAUACGCAGUCCAAGAACAUAUCAAGGACUAUUCAUACGCUUAAGGGUUCAAAACAUACCAUACGAUCAUGAGUCACAAACUUACCAUAAGUAUGAGUUUCCAGAACUCGUAACUUAUAUUAAUAUAUAUUCUCUAACUAUCCAUUAUACUCUUGAGAAAAGAAUCACCUCUUCUUCAUCGGUAUAUCGAUAGCGCGACACCAACAUUUCAACAAUUAUCAAUGUGGGAAACCAAGUAGUUGUUAAACCAAGCACAAAACCCUCGCCCAUACAAAGGUUUGCACAACUUAGUCACCACUUGAGUCCUCGAUUGAAAUCCCACAUAAAUUAUAACAUUCUCUUGCUCAAUACGAAUAUUCUUAACACGUAUCUUAUCAUAAACAACUCUUUUUGAGUUUCUCUUGUACUAUUUUAUAGUACCAUUUCAUGUAUAGCAUUAGUUAUAACUUUCCAAUCAUUUGAUUAAUCAGUUGUCCUUCCAAAUCAGAUCAUGGCGUGAUCUUAUCAUUCUAUGGCUAUCUUUGCCUUUUCUGGCAUUCGACAUCAAGCCUAAUGACUUAAUUAACAUCUUAAAAUAACAAUAUAUGUAUUAUUACUUUCUCGUGAUGAAUGCCUCAAUUCAUCUCUUAAAAUUCUGUCAGAGUUUAACUCCUUACUAUCUUCACUAAUUCCUCUAAGGUUAUAUCCUAAGGUACUUUUAACCCUAGAGCUAUAACCUAUUGCUACAGCCCCAAAAUUCCAGUUCUAUCUUUAGCUGCAAUGAUAUUAGAAUUUACAAGAAUGAGCAUUAAGUUGCUCAGUAAGUAUAAUCAAUUGAAUAAACAACAAAGUUAUGAACAACGCAUCAUUACUUGAAAACUUCAAUAACCAAAUAAGAGUUAUGAAGCAGCUUGAAUAAAUAGGAAUUAAAUCAUACUUUCUAUCUUAUAACACCUUUCUUACCCUUCUAAGAGAACACUCUUCAAAUUCUUCAAUAAGAAGUUCAUCAUCAUAUACUUAAUCACAAUCACCUAAAAUCAUAUGUCUUCUUAUACUUAUAAAGAAUAACUUUUCCUAAAUACUACUCUAGGACUUAACUUAGCCUAGACAUUUAUAUAUAUAUGAAAAGAAUCACAUUUCCAAUAUAUAUAUAUAUAUACAAAACAGUACAUCACAGGUGUUCAACAGUUAUCAAUGUAGUCAAAAGUCCCUUACCCAUACAAAGCAGUUGAUCGACUUAAGCUACAUGUCAAAGGUUAAAGAGCAUGUGACUGCACUUGCGACUUUAACUUAGUUAACCAUGUAACUUAAACUAGUCAAAUUAUAUCAACUUUCUUAUUCAUGCCAUUCGCUAUUAUGCGAAACUUAUCGUCUUUAACAGUUCCCUUUCUUAGAACUCUCUUUAAAUAAGUGCACAUAGUGUUUCAAUAUGAUCGUGUGUAUAACCAUCAAUAACAUGACAUCCGUGCACCGGGUGCAAGUCAACAUCUUUUGCCCUAGUUAUUUAAUUUGGCACUAGUAAUUUAUAUCCCUUACUAGAAUUAACAUCUAUAAUUUCUUUACUCGGAUUUAUAUUCUAUCCAAAAUAAUGCUACAAUUGAGUUAUGCUGAAACAAAUAGCUAAUAACUCCCUUUUUACAAAGCAUACAACGAAUUUCAUAUAACAAAUGAAAUUCCAACAUUUAAAUACACGUUUUGCACAGAAAAUAAUUUGUGCAAGAAUCAUACCAUACUUGCAUAACAUAUAUGCAUAACAUAUAAGCCAUACAUCAUACGGAAAUUUACGCAAACAUAAACAUUUACACAUGUUAAUAAUCUUGCUCAAUAAAAUCUGAGAAAACUUAAAAAACUUGCCUCAAGCAUCUGUUAGCCUUUACCGCUUACUUUACUCGUCCAUCACAUAUCCUACACAUAUAAGUGUACAUAAACAUAGCAAUUAGCUAUGCAACAACAUACCGCUUAGUUUACUUUUAAUUCUUUACUUUAAAUAUUUUAUUAAUCCCGUCCCAUAGGAGUUAAACACCUUCUUAACCUUGGCCACCUUUUCCUUAAUGGUUUAACAUUCCCACAUCAUUCGUCCAUCCUUACUUAUCAAAUGUCAAGGCGAUAUGCCAAACAUUAGCCCAAACCACUCUUUAGGAUUUAUAACGUUUUUAACCUGCUUCAAACUUGAGUUUCAACGCAUAGAACUAAGUUUUAUAGUCAUUAUAGACAAUUUAUAAAGGUAUCUUAAACAUCCGAAGUCCAAGCAAAAAGUCAAAAUUUCACAAGUGGACAGGGGCUCAGCGCUGCGGCGCUGGCUUUAAGCAUUGCGGCUAUGUUCAUCAUGUUCAUCAAGCGCGGUGGUGCUGUCUUGAAACACUGCGGCUUUGUUCCAAAAAUAUACAUAACGAUGCGGGGCCAAUAGACAGCGCUUUGGCGCCAUAGCGCUAGCCUUAAAUCUGGCAAUUUUUAAGUUUUUCGUUCUAAGACGCCUAUUUUCGAAUAGUGUAACUUUUCGGUCCGUGAUUGGAAUGAACCCGUUUCAGGGACUAUUUCUUCCUUGUCAUGAACUCUCCAAAUCUCCCUUAACAGAAUAAUUUUUCCAGUUUUCGUACUUAUCAAAAAAUUGACUCAAAAGUCCCCCGAGACUACGUUUCUCACCUUUUAACAUGCUUUACAAAAACUUUCACCACGACUUUAAUUUAACUCAUUUUUAGUUCGUUCCAAUUAGAAUUUUUCCAUAACUUCUUUAUCUACAAAUCCUUCUUUUUGGAUCUUUCAAAUUAAUCCAUCAAUCAUGUUUUCACUAGUUCGAUUUACGUCUUCUACAUAAUUUUUCAUUCUUUAUGCUUUGGCUUAGAUUUAAUUCUUUGUUUCCAUUCUUCAUGCAUAUAACCAAGUGAUAAAACAUUUAAAACACCUUAUUUCUCCGGAUCUAUCAUGAUCUACUAUAACCCAACAAUAAAUCAAACUCUUAGAAAUUAAAAAGAUGAAAAGUUUUGAGUUUAUCUUUUGAUUCGUGCUUCUUCUUGGUUUUUCUUUGCCUUGAUCUUGACUUGAUCUUGCUAUGCAUGAUCUUCUUCUUCUUCCCUCUUUAUCCGACCAUCUCUCUUCCUCUCUUAUUUUUCUCUCUUUUCUCUCUUGUUCUUCCUCUCUCUCUAUUUCUCUCUCUUCACUUAGC
Molecule: long non-coding RNA, 3894 nt
Filed under: Panax ginseng (ginseng)
Lineage: Eukaryota; Viridiplantae; Streptophyta; Magnoliopsida; Apiales; Araliaceae
Description: long non-coding RNA (PGIN_LNC003449)
Source: RNAcentral